RNAcentral lists this long non-coding RNA (1073 nucleotides) under Homo sapiens (human). RNAcentral describes it as "HSALNT0062847". Lineage: Eukaryota; Metazoa; Chordata; Mammalia; Primates; Hominidae. The record is from RNAcentral.
CUUCUCCGCACUGUGCUGGGCACUGGGGAUGUGAAGAUGAGUGAGACAGGCUCAUGUCUGGGAAGAAUGGAGACAGAUGGAGAACACAGAGCUCUAUGCUGCGGGUAUAAGGGCAUAAUGAGGGCUUGCAAGAGGAACAGUUCGUUUUCCGGGGGUGAUGGCUCAGAGACAAGCUGGGAUACUAAGCUGCCUGAAGGGUUUGCAUUUCCCAUGGUGCCCAGUGCAGUGCCGAGAAUGAACUUGUAGACCCUUUAUUGCUGUGGCUAAGAUGGAGGAGGUUUGGAAAUCUUUGACAGCUGAGCCCUGUGACAGAAGAGAACAAGAAUUCCUGGUCCUCCCAACACCUCGGAACAACGUGUGAAAUGAAAGACCUCAGGUGCUGUAUUGGCUCUUGACAGCUCUUCAGAAGAAAAUACCUCCUGCCUGUUCUGUUCAGUCCUGGUGCAGGUGGUCCUGGACAACACUUUGAAAAAUGCUGGGGCAGAAACAAGCCAGCAAGCAUAUGGGAUUCAUCUGCUGUGAGUGAUAAUUUAUCUAGUUUCUAAAAAUAGUGUUAUAGGCUGGACUGUGUCCCCUUCCUGUGCCCCGCCGCCAUGCAUAUAUGGACGCCUAGUACCUCAGAAUGUGACUGUAUUUGGAAACAGGGCCUUUGAAGAAGUAAUUAAGUUAAAAUGAGGUCAUUAGGGUGGGCAGUAAUACAGUAUAACUGGUGUCCUUAUAAGAAGAGAUUAGGACACAGAUGCACACAGAGGGAAGACCAUAUGAACACAGAGGGAGAAGACAGCCACCUGCAAGCCACAGAGAGAGCCCUUCAAAGAAACCAACCCUGCAGACAAUUUGAUCUCAGGUUUCUGGCCUCCAGAAUUGUGAGAAAAUAAAUUUCUGUUGUUUAAGUCACCCAGUCUGUGGUAUUUUGUUAUGGCGGCGAAGCUAACGAACACAAACAGAAGGCUGAUUUCACUUAAUAAUCAUCUCAGAAGGCAGAGAUUGCUUCAAACUAUUGCAUAAACAAGGCUGGUUUGUGAACCAAAGGACAUGAGCCCCAAACCUGGAGUCGCAGAGGCAGCAUGACA